This 253-nucleotide ribosomal RNA is filed under the name uncultured bacterium. RNAcentral's name for it is "partial 16S ribosomal RNA". It matches the Rfam family "Bacterial small subunit ribosomal RNA", at positions 524 to 776 of the family's 1533-position model. The record is from RNAcentral.
UACGUAGGGUGCGAGCGUUGUCCGGAAUUACUGGGCGUAAAGAGCUUGUAGGUGGUUUGUCGCGUUGUUCGUGAAAUCUCACGGCUUAACUGUGAGCGUGCGGGCGAUGCGGGCAGACUAGAGUACUGCAGGGGAGACUGGAAUUCCUGGUGUAGCGGUGGAAUGCGCAGAUAUCAGGAGGAACACCGGUGGCGAAGGCGGGUCUCUGGGCAGUAACUGACGCUGAGAAGCGAAAGCGUGGGGAGCGAACAGG